GGGCCCGCACAAGCGGUGGAGUAUGUGGUUUAAUUCGACGCAACGCGCAGAACCUUACCCAGUCUUGACAUCCUUUGCUCACCAUAGAGAUAUGGUUUCCUCCUUCACGGGAGGCAGAGUGACAGGUGCUGCAUGGCUGUCGUCAGCUCGUGUCGUGAGAUGUUCGGUUAAGUCCGGUAACGAGCGCAACCCCUAUCCUUAGUUGCCAAUUAUGGAACUCUAGGGAGACUCCCGGUGUUAAACCGGAGGAAGAUGGGGAUGACGUCAAGUCCUCAUGGCCCUUACGACUGGGGCUACACACGUACUACAAUGGCAUCUACAAUGGGAUGCAAUAGGGUGACCUGGAGCUAAUCCCCAAAGGCCGUCUCAGUUCGGAUUGUUCUCUGCAACUCGAGAACAUGAAGUCGGAAUCGCUAGUAAUCGU
Molecule: ribosomal RNA, 424 nt
Filed under: uncultured bacterium
Lineage: Bacteria
Description: bacterial SSU rRNA
Rfam family: Bacterial small subunit ribosomal RNA
Source: RNAcentral